GACGAACGCUGGCGGCGUGCUUAACACAUGCAAGUCGAACGGAAAGGCCCUGCCUUUGUUGGGUGCUCGAGUGGCGAACGGGUGAGUAACACGUGAGUAACCUGCCCUUUACUGUGGGAUAACUUCAGGAAACUGUGGCUAAUACCGGAUAGGAGCUCCUGCUGCAUGGCGGUGGCUUGAAAGGUUCGGCGGCUGGGGAUGGAGUCGCGGCUUCUCAGCAUGAUGGUGUGGUUGUGGCGUCCCAAGGCCUGGGCGGGUAGCCGGACUGGGAGGGUGACCGGCCACAGUGGGACUGAGAAGGGGGCCAGACGCCUACGGGAGGCAGGGGUGGGGAAUAUUGCAAGAUGGGCGGAGGCCUGAUGGAGCAAUGCCGCGUGCGGGAGGACGGCCUUAGGGUAGUAACCAGCUUUCGCCUGUGACGAAGCGUGAGUGACGGUAACGGGUAAAGAAGCAACGGCUAACUACGUG
RNAcentral lists this ribosomal RNA (468 nucleotides) under uncultured bacterium. RNAcentral describes it as "partial 16S ribosomal RNA". It matches the Rfam family "Bacterial small subunit ribosomal RNA", at positions 28 to 507 of the family's 1533-position model. The record is from RNAcentral.